CCCCUACGUGAAAAGCACAAUAGCGAUACAAUCAAAGAUCAUUAAACUUUGUGAAAACUAUAAGUAUUGACGAGACAUUCGUAACUAUGAAAAGCAUGAUACUCUUGCCAAGAAUUUACUUAACGUGAUUGUGACUAGCAACCUUUACUACUUGUGAAAAUAAGUUCAUAACGAUUAGGUGAAAUUCACUUAUAUUCUAGCAUCAAAUUCAUGCAUGUAAAUUAAGCGUGCACUCUUAACCAACAUACACAAAUCAGUUUUUAUACGAACGGAUAAGUAAAUUGAAAUCACAACUUAUGAAAUCACAA
This 308-nucleotide long non-coding RNA is filed under the name Malus domestica (apple). RNAcentral describes it as "long non-coding RNA (MDOM_LNC021314)". Lineage: Eukaryota; Viridiplantae; Streptophyta; Magnoliopsida; Rosales; Rosaceae. The record is from RNAcentral.